AAUGAACGUUGGCGGCGUGGAUUAGGCAUGCAAGUCGAGCGAGAACCCGCAAGGGGGACAGCGGCGAACGGGGUAGGAAUACGUAGGUAACGUACCCUCGGGGCGAGGACAGCCACGGGAAACUGUGGGUAAUACUCGAUAAACUUCCCAAUCAUUAUGGAAGGGGAAGCAAUGGGUGUGAUUCCACCUGAGGAGCGGCUUACGCAGUAUCAGCUAGUUGGUGAGGUAACGGCUCACCAAGGCUACGACGCUUAGGGGGGUGUGAGAGCAUGGCCCCCACCACUGGCACUGAGACACUGGCCAGACACCUACGGGUGGCUGCAGUCGAGAAUCUUCGGCAAUGGACGCAAGUCUGACCGAGCGACGCCGCGUGUGGGAUGAAGGCCUUGGGUUGUAACCACUGUCAGAGGGGAGUGAAGUGUACGAGAGUUAUCUCUUGUAUUUGACAGAGCCUCAGAGGAAGCACGGGCUAAGUUCGUG
This 480-nucleotide ribosomal RNA is filed under the name uncultured bacterium. RNAcentral's name for it is "bacterial SSU rRNA". It matches the Rfam family "Bacterial small subunit ribosomal RNA", at positions 29 to 507 of the family's 1533-position model. The record is from RNAcentral.